GGCCAGACUCCUACGGGAGGCAGCAGUGGGGGAUAUUGCACAAUGGGGGGAACCCUGAUGCAGCGACGCCGCGUGGGUGAAGAAGCGCCUCGGCGCGUAAAGCCCUGUCAGCAGGGAAGAAAAUGACGGUACCCGAAGAAGAAGCCCCGGCUAACUACGUGCCAGCAGCCGCGGUAAUACGUAGGGGGCAAGCGUUAUCCGGAUUUACUGGGUGUAAAGGGGGCGCAGACGGCGAUGCAAGCCAGGAGUGAAAGCCCGGGGGCCAACCCCGGGACUGCUCUUGGAACUGCGUGGCUGGAGUGCAGGAGGGGCAGGCGGAAUUCCUGGUGUAGCGGUGAAAUGCGUAGAUAUCAGGAGGAACACCGGUGGCGAAGGCGGCCUGCUGGACUGCAACUGACGUUGAGGCCCGAAAGCGUGGGGAGCAAACAGGAUUAGAUACCCCGGUAC
This 447-nucleotide ribosomal RNA is filed under the name uncultured bacterium. RNAcentral describes it as "bacterial SSU rRNA". It matches the Rfam family "Bacterial small subunit ribosomal RNA", at positions 329 to 793 of the family's 1533-position model. The record is from RNAcentral.